Molecule: ribosomal RNA, 21 nt
Filed under: Fusarium oxysporum
Lineage: Eukaryota; Fungi; Ascomycota; Sordariomycetes; Hypocreales; Nectriaceae
Also listed under: 2 other names
Description: partial 18S ribosomal RNA
Source: RNAcentral
AGGGAUCAUUACCGAGUUUAC